GACGAACGCUGGCGGCGUGCUUAACACAUGCCAGUCGAACGGAAAGGCCUGCUUUCCCUUGUGGAUUGCGGGUACUCGAGUGGCGAACGGGUGAGUAACACGUGAGUGAUCUGCCCCCAACUUGGGUAUAAGCCUGGGAAACUGGGUCUAAUUCCCGAUAGGACUGCAGGGUGGUGCCUGUGGUGGAAAACAAUUUUCUAGUGGUUGGGGAUGAGCUCGCGGCCUAUCAGCUUGUUGGUGGGGUAAUGGCCUACCAAGGCGGCGACGGGUAGCCGGCCUGAGAGGGUGGACGGCCACAUUGGGACUGAGAUACGGCCCAGACUCCUACGGGAGGCAGCAGUGGGGAAUAUUGCACAAUGGGCGGAAGCCUGAUGCAGCGACGCCGCGUGGGGGAUGACGGCCUUCGGGUUGUAAACUCCUUUCGACCGCGAGGAAGCCACCUGGUUGGAAGGGUGGUGACGGUAGUGGUAGAAGAAGCACCGGCUAACUACGUG
RNAcentral lists this ribosomal RNA (494 nucleotides) under uncultured bacterium. Its description in RNAcentral is "partial 16S ribosomal RNA". It matches the Rfam family "Bacterial small subunit ribosomal RNA", at positions 28 to 507 of the family's 1533-position model. The record is from RNAcentral.